This 362-nucleotide long non-coding RNA is filed under the name Homo sapiens (human). RNAcentral describes it as "long non-coding RNA NONHSAT005733". The record is from RNAcentral. Lineage: Eukaryota; Metazoa; Chordata; Mammalia; Primates; Hominidae.
UCAGGUGUCCUAGGAAGCCGAUUCCGAGUUGGAGAUUUGCAUGCAAGGAGGUUGAAAUGAUAUUCCCAACACCUGUGGAAGAGUGAAAGCAAUAGGAUUGGGCGGAGCAGGAAGUCGGCUGGAAUGCAAUCACUAUCAUGGCCGCAGUCCACUCUACAGGGAUCUUGGUAGAGCAACACUCUGGAGACCUUCUUUUGAGGCAUUUCACCACCAGAGAAUGAUGUUGGAACCAAUGUUGGUAAUUUUGAAAGUCAUGGAGAGGAUUUCAGAUGAUAGAAGUCGGGCAAAUAUCCCAGGUUUAAUAAAUAAGCAAAUGAUCUCCAAGGUUAUAGAGGGAUUGGACAUUUGUGUCUUCAAUUGGC